ACGGAGGGUGCAAGCGUUAUCCGGAAUCACUGGGUUUAAAGGGUGCGUAGGCGGAUAGAUAAGUCAGAGGUGAAAGCUCUCAGCUCAACUGGGGAAUUGCCUUUGAUACUGUUUAUCUUGAAUUAUGUUGAGGUUAGCGGAAUGAGUCAUGUAGCGGUGAAAUGCAUAGAUAUGACUUAGAACACCAAUUGCGAAGGCAGCUAGCUAGGCAUAUAUUGACGCUGAGGCACGAAAGCGUGGGGAGCGAACAGG
This 252-nucleotide ribosomal RNA is filed under the name uncultured bacterium. RNAcentral describes it as "partial 16S ribosomal RNA". It matches the Rfam family "Bacterial small subunit ribosomal RNA", at positions 525 to 776 of the family's 1533-position model. The record is from RNAcentral.